UCUCCCUGGGAAACGGGUGGUAAUGCCGGAUGCUCCGACUCCUCGCAUGGGGUGUCGGGAAAGAUUUCAUCGGUAUGGGAUGGGGUCGCGUCCUAUCAGGUAGUCGGCGGGGUAACGGCCCACCGAGCCUACGACGGGUAGCCGGCCUGAGAGGGCGACCGGCCACAUUGGGACUGAGAUACGGCCCAGACUCCUACGGGAGGCAGCAGUGGGGAAUAUUGCACAAUGGGCGCAAGCCUGAUGCAGCGACGCCGCGUGCGGGAUGACGGCCUUCGGGUUGUAAACCGCUUUUGAUCGGGAGCAAGCCUUCGGGUGAGUGUACCUUUCGAAUAAGCACCGGCUAACUACGUGCCAGCAGCCGCGGUAAUACGUAGGGUGCAAGCGUUAUCCGGAAUUAUUGGGCGUAAAGGGCUCGUAGGCGGUUCGUCGCGUCCGGUGUGAAAGUCCAUCGCUUAACGGUGGAUCUGCGCCGGGUACGGGCGGGCUGGAGUGCGGUAGGGGAGACUGGAAUUCCCGGUGUAACGGUGGAAUGUGUAGAUAUCGGAAAAGAACACC
RNAcentral lists this ribosomal RNA (555 nucleotides) under Bifidobacterium pseudocatenulatum. RNAcentral's name for it is "bacterial SSU rRNA". It matches the Rfam family "Bacterial small subunit ribosomal RNA", at positions 144 to 710 of the family's 1533-position model. Lineage: Bacteria; Bacillati; Actinomycetota; Actinomycetes; Bifidobacteriales; Bifidobacteriaceae. The record is from RNAcentral.